AUAUCUACAUCCAACCUGCUUUUAUCAAGUUCGCCAUAUUUCACUACGAUCACUCUAGCACGACCUUCCUUAAUAGCUUGAGUAUGAGCAGUUUUAAAUUCUUGUAUGCCCCAAACGCUGUCUAAGAAGUUAUUCGAAAGAACAACCAAGGUUCUUCUAGAAUUCAUAACGGAAUACUCAACAUUCGUCAAUAUCGUCUCACCGGGUUUCCAAUCUCUGAUGUGAAUGCAAGUUCUGAGUGGUUGAAGAACUGGAAGUAGAUUGUGGAGGACAAAUUCUUCAUCUUGGUG
Diabrotica virgifera virgifera (western corn rootworm) is the source of this 290-nucleotide long non-coding RNA. RefSeq lists it as uncharacterized. Lineage: Eukaryota; Metazoa; Arthropoda; Insecta; Coleoptera; Chrysomelidae. The record is from RefSeq and is a predicted model, not a curated record. The transcript is spliced from 2 exons.